Molecule: ribosomal RNA, 274 nt
Filed under: uncultured bacterium
Lineage: Bacteria
Description: partial 16S ribosomal RNA
Rfam family: Bacterial small subunit ribosomal RNA
Source: RNAcentral
AUACGGAGGGUGCAAGCGUUACUCGGAAUCACUGGGCGUAAAGCGCGCGCAGGCGGCUUGAUAAGUUGGAUGUGAAAGCCUACGGCUCAACCGUAGAACUGCAUCCAAAACUAUUUAGCUAGAGUGUGGGAGAGGAAGAUGGAAUUAGUUGUGUAGGGGUAAAAUCCGUAGAGAUAACUAGGAAUACCAAAAGCGAAGGCAAUCUUCUGGAACGCUACUGACGCUGAGGCGCGAAAGCGUGGGGAGCAAACAGGAUUAGAAACCCCGGUAGUCC